CAUCUUUCUUAUUUUCUUAUUUUUUUCACAUCCACACAACCAUGAGCUUUUUCUUUGUUUGUUUUUUUUUUCUUUCUUCUUCUUUUUCUUUGCUCUAUAGUUUCAAGGGUGAUUUCUUUUUCUUGUUUCUUUUCACACUUUCACCCUUUUAUAAAACAUCACUUUUCCAAGUUUCUAAUCAACUCUUUUAAUUUACUCUCCCCAACUUUAGAUUUCAA
This 218-nucleotide long non-coding RNA is filed under the name Lathyrus oleraceus (garden pea). Its description in RNAcentral is "Pisum sativum (pea) long non-coding RNA (PSAT_LNC029750)". Lineage: Eukaryota; Viridiplantae; Streptophyta; Magnoliopsida; Fabales; Fabaceae. The record is from RNAcentral.